Long non-coding RNA from Mauremys reevesii (Reeves's turtle), 930 nucleotides. RefSeq lists it as uncharacterized. Lineage: Eukaryota; Metazoa; Chordata; Testudines; Geoemydidae. The transcript has 7 exons. The record is from RefSeq and is a predicted model, not a curated record.
GUUAAGGCUGCAUUGUCCCAUGCUAUUACUGGUAGCAUAGAUAUGCCACCUGCUCUCCAUUGUGAUUUCUGUUGUUUCGGUCUUCCAGCCCAUCAGUGCCUGCACAGGACUGUUUUGCAUACCUGUACUGGAGUAUUUCUGUGUGCCAAAAAAUGCUCAUGAGGGAUCUGAACCAGGAGAAAUAGCCUCAUGUAACAAUCUCUUAGCUGUUUUCAGAGCUGACUCCACCUUACCAUUGCUCUAUGGAUAGUUGCCAUAGCAACCAAGGAAUAUACUUCUUAACGCAGCUCAUUCAGAACCUGUUCAGAACUCUUUCAACUUUACCAUCCCUGCAAAUCGAUGGCUAGGAUCUCUCCGCUGUGUUUUUGAAGUCCUUUGGCCAGGAUCCAGAAUGUUACACGAGCUAUUGCCAUCCACUAGAUGAGGACACAUUUCGCUUGUUGAAGAUAACUACCAGUUGAUCAAAAUGGUUCAUCCCAAGGACUGAAAUGGGCUUCUGAUAGAUUGUUUGAAAAUUCCGAACUCCAAAGGAGAAGGGAGCAGAGGUAUUGGAACAGAGGUGACAUCUGAACAUUCUGAAGUUAUUUUGCAUCCUGGUAAUGGCCAGGCACACAGAAGCUCAGUGGACAUCUGGGGUUGGUGGAACAUGUAUUUGAAUGUAAACAAAGAUGAGUCAACUACCUUGAUAAUGCAGUGACCAGCUUGUUCAUCUGGAAAAUGUUUCAUCAUUGUUAGUUAGGUUCAUUAUAAGCCUGAAGUGAGUGAAGGACAACAUGACGCACCUGUUUUUAAGGGUCUGCUUCUGCUGAAGCCUGUGGCAGAGGUCCUAUUAAUUUCAGCGACAGCAUAAAAGGAGGAAGUUUGAAUAGAAAGAGAAGGAAAAUAUAAAAUCCAUUCCGUCUGUUGGUCUUUGCUCACAAAAUCUGUCCA